This 467-nucleotide long non-coding RNA is filed under the name Brassica napus (rape). RNAcentral's name for it is "long non-coding RNA (BNAP_LNC015668)". The record is from RNAcentral. Lineage: Eukaryota; Viridiplantae; Streptophyta; Magnoliopsida; Brassicales; Brassicaceae.
AGAUCCGAGUAGUCAAUUGCCAAGAGUAUCGACCGAUAACAACAUCUUUACAUCGAUAGACACCUAUUCCGGUCUAGUAUAUCGUUCUAACUCGUUAAAUUGAGUCCUUAUGUUUUAGUUUACACCAUAACUCCGACUGAAUUUACACUGGAGACAGUGUAGUUUAAUUCUUUGGGGAGGUUUACUGAUAUUAGUUUAUUUCAUGAGUCUUAUUAAAAUGUUUUCAAAAAUAUGUUUUUAUUAAGUCAAGAAGGAGACAAUGAACUUAUUGAUUUGCUUGUUAUCUAACGACACCAUUCUAGAGUUACAAGUUGCAGAUAGCACUAAAGAUACCAAAGUGGAUCAACAUGUUAACUAUGUUACACUUGUUGAGAAUGUUUGAAGGAACCAAAGCUGACCUCCAACCUAACUGAGCUCAACUUUGCUUGUCUUGGGGCUUGGUAUACAUGGGAUCAGAUUCUUCAAAC